AACGUACCUGGGCCUGGUAACUCCACCACCGUUGGCGGUUGUCAUUAGUCAACGGAGGCAGUGUUCCCGCUCCUAGGUGCGAG
RNAcentral lists this microRNA precursor (83 nucleotides) under Operophtera brumata (winter moth). Its description in RNAcentral is "mir-2765 microRNA precursor family". It matches the Rfam family "mir-2765 microRNA precursor family". Lineage: Eukaryota; Metazoa; Arthropoda; Insecta; Lepidoptera; Geometridae. The record is from Rfam by way of RNAcentral.